RNAcentral lists this ribosomal RNA (253 nucleotides) under uncultured bacterium. Its description in RNAcentral is "partial 16S ribosomal RNA". It matches the Rfam family "Bacterial small subunit ribosomal RNA", at positions 524 to 776 of the family's 1533-position model. The record is from RNAcentral.
GACGAACCGUGCGAACGUUGUUCGGAUUCACUGGGCUUAAAGGGCGCGUAGGCGGGUUAUCAAGUCAGGGGUGAAAUCUUUCGGCUUAACCGGAAAAUGGCCUCUGAUACUGGUAGUCUUGAGGGAGGUAGGGGCAGGUGGAACUUCCGGUGGAGCGGUGAAAUGGGUUGAUAUCGGAAGGAACGCCGGUGGCGAAAGCGACCUGCUGGAGCUCUUCUGACGCUGAGGCGCGAAAGCUAGGGGAGCGAACGGG